RNAcentral lists this ribosomal RNA (254 nucleotides) under uncultured bacterium. RNAcentral's name for it is "partial 16S ribosomal RNA". It matches the Rfam family "Bacterial small subunit ribosomal RNA", at positions 524 to 776 of the family's 1533-position model. The record is from RNAcentral.
UCCGUAGGGACCAAGCGUUGUUCGGAUUUACUGGGCGUAAAGGGCGCGUCGGCGGCAAUUCAAGUCAUCUGUGCAAUCUCCGGGCUUAACCCGGAACGGUCAGGUGAUACUGUUUUGCUAGAGUGCGGAAGGGGCAAUCGGAAUUCUCGGUGUAGCGGUGAAAUGCGUAGAUAUCGAGAGGAACACCAGAGGUGAAGACGGGUUGCUGGGCCGACACUGACGCUGACAGCGCGAAAGCCAGGGGAGCAAACGGG